RNA transcript from Raphanus sativus (radish), 1564 nucleotides. RefSeq lists it as uncharacterized. Lineage: Eukaryota; Viridiplantae; Streptophyta; Magnoliopsida; Brassicales; Brassicaceae. The record is from RefSeq and is a predicted model, not a curated record. The transcript has 8 exons.
AAAAUAAGUGAAACUCUCGAGUCAAUUAGGGCUUCACUGUUAUUCUUCUACAAUUCAACCUUGCCGUCUCCCCUCUAUUCUUAAUCUGCGAAGCAAAUGUCGUAACCAUGGUGUUUGAUUCCGAGAAGCAAUCGAUCGUUUUUCUUGGACAUGUCGACUCUUGGACAGGUUGGUGAUUCAUCUUCAGGUGGGAUUAGCUCGGUCAAAGAACCUUUGAUUAAGGAGAACACCACAGCCCAGAAGACUAUUCUGUUCUUACAGCCAUUCCCCGUGAGUUCUUUUCUGUCGUUUUCUAUUGUUAGGAAGUCAUAACACCACCAACUGUGGUCACAGAAAGAUUGUGGUUGCUAUUAACAGAUUAUUGCCAAUGUUUCUUCUAAAAAAAGCUAAUGUUUGGUUUGCACAUGGUUCAUACCAAGCAGACAUUUGUUGCAGGUUUCUCUUACCAGCUCUUGGAGCUUUGCUUUUUGGUUACGAGAUUGGUGCUACUUCUUGUGCCAUUAUUUCUAAUAAGGUUACAAUAACUCCUGAAGUCGAGAGCAAUCAUUGCUGAGUUAGUGAGACUACAUAAAGAGUCUGAUCUCAGGCCGGAAAAGCCUCUGCACUGUCGGGGAGCUUCCUUUCACUUGGAAAGAGUUCGCUGUUAAGAUCUUUGAUGAGACGACGGUAUCAUCAAUGGCCCUAUAUGGGAGUGAUCAUAUAAGGUGGCUAUCAAGUUCGUUGCACGGACUAAUAUACAGUUAUGGUGUGGGUUUAACUUUAAACAUCGACAUGGCUUCAGCUGCAUUCAGUCUCUUCCUGUGAUUGAGUUUUUAGCACAGCUUCUUGGGAAAGAUGUCUUGUCAUAGCCAUUAUCUGACUCUGAUCGUAUUAAGGGGAGUGAAAGACGAGGUCACUUAUAGAGCAAACGUAAGAAGGAAAUGCGUGUUGCCGGUUUAACGACUCAGCCAACGAGAGAGCUUAUGUUUCCUGUUGAUGAGAACGCUAUGAUGAAGUCUGUUAUUGAGUAGUUUCAAGAGAGAGAUGCAUGGGUUCACGAUACAGCACACAUAUUUACCGUGUCUCCAAAUUGGAAAUAAGAAGAAGGCAAGCUAUUUCCCUAUGGAGGCGUGCAAAAUCAUGGUGGGACAGCAGAUCACUGCUCUUUUGAAAGAUACAUGCCAGAAACCAAGGGAUAGAGAAAACAAUAUUCUAAAGACUUUCAAGACCAAUGAAUCUGGAUUUGUUGAGGUGGAAGGUGUGGAAGCAUCGGCAUCUGCGAGCAACAAGGUUAGAGGUGAAGAUGAUGAACCAAGUCCAUCCGCAUCUGCAGGCAAAGAGAGUAGCAAUGAAGCUCCAUCGGCGUCUGCAAACUGUGUUGAAGAGGAAGGUGGCCAAGCAUCCAAUUCUGCCAGCAUCAAGGUUGGGGGAAAAGCCAAUGAACCAUAUCCAUCCGGUGUUGAAGGCAAAGAGGGUGACCGUAAACGCCCCGCGAGUGAAGAAACAAAACUGUUAAUCGUCAUUCCAAAUUUGCUUCAGUCUCUUUACGGUUUCAUAAUUUAAUAUGCAUUUCCUAUUUCACACU